Neltuma alba is the source of this 504-nucleotide long non-coding RNA. RefSeq lists it as uncharacterized. NCBI's taxonomy places the organism in Eukaryota, Viridiplantae, Streptophyta, Magnoliopsida, Fabales, Fabaceae. The record is from RefSeq and is a predicted model, not a curated record. The transcript is spliced from 2 exons.
AGAUCGUCUCAGAAGCGGAUUUCUCCGUGGCUCUCAGAAUCUGCAUAUCCCAUCCGUCCAUUCCAUCUGAGCGUCCAAAAGGUGACACAUCAUCCAAAUUUAAAAUCGCAUAUAAACCGUUCAUCCCAUUGUAAUUCUCGCCGCACAUUCAAUUACAAAAUACCUAUGGCCUCCACGAAGACACUUUCUCAGUUUGCCGUGAAUUUCCAACCCCAUCAGCGACAUAAAUAGGGAGCUCCAUGGCUACCGAGGAUUAGGCACUAUGAGAGAAUCACUAUAGUUUUGCUGAAAGCAAUUUAUGGGGUCUGCAAGGUUGUGAAUCCAGAGAAGCUAAAAUGAGGCAACCCAUGCUAAAGCUGUUAUGGAAAAUGACCUUCACCCAAUGAGAAGGAAGAAAGAAGAGCAAUGUAGAUGUUAGUAUAGUGUUAUAAAGAAUGACCGUGUAUUUAGCAUCUUAAUGUAUAAUAUACAUUGAUUUUAAUAAAAGUGAUCAUCUCCCCUUAA